Molecule: ribosomal RNA, 256 nt
Filed under: uncultured bacterium
Lineage: Bacteria
Description: partial 16S ribosomal RNA
Rfam family: Bacterial small subunit ribosomal RNA
Source: RNAcentral
GACAGAGGUGCCAAGCGUUAGGCGGAAUCACUGGGCUUAAAGCGUGUGUAGGCGGAUCGUUAAGUACCUUGUGAAAUCCCACGGCUCAACCGUGGAACUGCUGGGUAUACUGGCGGUCUUGAGCCACCUAGGGGCAACUGGAACAAGCGGUGGAGCGGUGAAAUGCGUAGAUAUCGCUUGGAACGCCAACGGUGAAAACAGGUUGCUGGGGGGUGUGCUGACGCUGAGACACGAAAGCCAGGGGGAGCGAACGGGG